GAUGAACGCUGGCGGCGUGCCUAAUACAUGCAAGUCGAGCGAACAGACGAGGAGCUUGCUCCUUUGACGUUAGCGGCGGACGGGUGAGUAACACGUAGGUAACCUACCUAUAAGACUGGGAUAACUUCGGGAAACCGGAGCUAAUACCGGAUAAUAUUUUGAACCGCAUGGUUCGAUAGUGAAAGAUGGCUUUGCUGUCACUUAUAGAUGGACCUGCGCCGUAUUAGCUAGUUGGUAAGGUAACGGCUUACCAAGGCAACGAUACAUAGCCGACCUGAGAGGGUGAUCGGCCACACCGGAACUGAGACACGGUCCAGACUCCUACGGGAGGCAGCAGUAGGGAAUCUUCCGCAAUGGGCGAAAGCCUGACGGAGCAACGCCGCGUGAGUGAUGAAGGUCUUCGGAUCGUAAAACUCUGUUAUUAGGGAAGAACAAACGUGUAAGUAACUGUGCACGUCUUGACGGUACCUAAUCAGAAAGCCACGGCUAACUACGUG
This 497-nucleotide ribosomal RNA is filed under the name uncultured bacterium. RNAcentral describes it as "partial 16S ribosomal RNA". It matches the Rfam family "Bacterial small subunit ribosomal RNA", at positions 28 to 507 of the family's 1533-position model. The record is from RNAcentral.